Molecule: long non-coding RNA, 286 nt
Organism: Brienomyrus brachyistius
Lineage: Eukaryota; Metazoa; Chordata; Actinopteri; Osteoglossiformes; Mormyridae
Exons: 3
Source: RefSeq, a predicted model, not a curated record
GGGUGGGGUCGAAGCUGAUCUGAGCCUGAUGUUCUACGUUUGCCCCUGAUCACUGUGCCUGUGGUGAGAUGCCAUUCCUGUCAAGAUGACAACAUUGAAUUGGAGUGAAACCAGAGAAAGAAAAAAUAGAUAUAAAGGAACGCUAUGUGAGCAACAGUUUGAUGGAUGGGUAUUGCAUCUCCGUGACGGCGCUGACCUUGACGACUCGAGCCAGGCCAAAGUCAGCCACUUUGCAGGUGUAGUCCUCCCCCACCAGCACGUUGCGUGCGGCCAGGUCCCUGUGGAU